Molecule: transfer RNA, 66 nt
Filed under: Apodemus chevrieri (Chevrier's field mouse)
Lineage: Eukaryota; Metazoa; Chordata; Mammalia; Rodentia; Muridae
Description: tRNA-Phe
Rfam family: tRNA
About the family: Transfer RNA (tRNA) molecules are approximately 80 nucleotides in length. Their secondary structure includes four short double-helical elements and three loops (D, anti-codon, and T loops).
Source: RNAcentral
GUUAAUGUAGCUUAAAACAAAGCAAAGCACUGAAAAUGCUUAGAUGGAUUUUUAAUCCCAUAAACA